Long non-coding RNA from Balaenoptera acutorostrata (minke whale), 3117 nucleotides. RefSeq lists it as uncharacterized. The record is from RefSeq and is a predicted model, not a curated record. The transcript is spliced from 3 exons. NCBI's taxonomy places the organism in Eukaryota, Metazoa, Chordata, Mammalia, Artiodactyla, Balaenopteridae.
GAACUUGACUCACUCAGGACGGAGAAGACCACAUCCUCUCUCUCAUUUCUGCUUUUCAUUAACAGGCGGUCGUGUGUGUUCAGAGUUCUAUGGACAUUAAUCACCUCCACAAACACCGAAGGAGACUUUCUAAUGCAGAAGAGUGUGUGCCGUCCCUGAGGUCAGCAAAGGUCAGCCAGAAGUGCUCAGGCCUCCUGGCUACUAUGUACAGUGGGUUGCAUCUGGCUGGAUGACCCACGAUGAGAAGACUCGGUGAGCUGCCGCCAUGAAGAAAUGAGGGUCAAGUUUCCUCUGUGGCUGGAGAAGACAUGAGGACCUUCUGCUCUCUGUUCAGUGGCCAGACAAACUAGACGAAGCCAGAGGCCUUGCGAACGGCUGGCAAGGCUUUCGUGAUUCCUUCUUCCCAGGUUUCAGGGGAACUCUUCAAGAGGGUCCCAGCCAUGAAGACUCCACGCCGGAGGAGACUAUUCCACACGGACUCCCCACAAGGGCAAGUUUGUGAGGAAAAAGAGAGGAGAACGUGGGAAGAAGGGCCGGACCCAGACGUGCUGAUGUCCAUUCUGAACCUCACUUGCCCUGGUUUCCGGGGCUCCACCCAGGCGCGUGGCCCUGGGAGGCCAAGACGUGGGAGGGAGGAGAGGUGAAGCCACCCCAACUCAACUUGGGAGAUCUGGGCAUUGCUCUCUUGACCUUCUGAGUGUCUUCUUUCCUUCAAAGUCAGUAGGAUUCGUCUGACCCGUUCCCCAAGCUCCCAGCACAGCCCCGUAUUACCCAGUUCUCCCCACACCUCGGGGCUGUCCUCUUUCUGCCAUCCGUGGCCGUGUGAUGACCCUGGGGCCCCAUGGGGGACUUCCUGGGAGAUGAAGACCACAUAAAAUACAGGGAAAUGAUGGGAAAACCCACUUCCUGCCCAUCCUGAGCCCCAGAAUGCUGGACACAGGCCCGGGCAGGCCUUCCUCUGUCUGUCCGUCCAUGUGUUCACUGAAGGCCACCAUGCUGUUUUGUGGGACUGGGUCGGAAGUCCCAGAAGACUGGGAACUAGCCGGCCACAGACAGGCACCAUCUCCUCUCACCCGGAGGCUGAUUUCCAGAGCUUGUAGGUAACAGAUCGGCCAGCAUGAGUCUAGCGGAACGCUCUGGUCAUGAACUUCACUUGCACUGGGCUAACGGCUGGCAUCAAUGUUUCAGGGGAGGCAGAAUCCCUUCUGGGCAGGGGACCUUCCGAUGGCUUACUUAGAGCAGUAUUCUUGUUUGCUGCCUCCGUUAGACCUGCUCGGCUUUCCUGAGGCUCCAAGUGUUUCUUGUGUUCAGACAAGUCCUGCCAAAUUAAGAACGCAGGCAGAGCCUUGGAGCACUGGAGGACUUCCAGGCAGAGCCCCUUUGCAAUUAGAGUAUAGUUUUAAUAGAGGAAGGAACUGUGUGUCAUGGGUGAAGAUAGAUGAACAUCGUCCUUGGGCCAACACAUGGUUUAGGGACAGAUUAAUGGCGCUGGCAGAAUCAGCUCACGAGGGGAGGAAAUUCAGGCCAAGAAUAAGGCCAAACUCUCCUCCUCUCAUGUAAGGCUGUGAUGCAGUCUCCGAAGAGCGCGGAGAUUGGCAGACAACCCCACAGCUGCACCGCAGUUGUGUCUGUGCAAGGACUCAGACCCUCGCCCUCACGAAAUGCGACACUCCAUCCCCAGAUCUGGGGCAGCAGUGACCAGGGGCCUGGGAGGGAGAGGUGGCCCCUGAGACCACAGCAGAAAAUACUGACUCGGAGGGGUGGGAGGUCCAGGAAUGUGGGUCAGGCUGAGACGCAAAUCCAGCCAGCACUCAUUCUCACCAUAAACCACGUGUCUGCUUUCUUCUCUAUGGAUUUCCAUAUUCUGGACAUUUCAUAUAAAGGUUCACACAUAGGGGGUCUUUUAUGUCUGGCUUCCUUCACUGAGCAUAAGUUUUCAAGUUCUAUGUCACGGCAUGAUCAGGCCUUGGGUUGGGGGUGUUAGUCCUUGAAACAACAAACCCAGCUACUAGCAGGUAUUCGUGCCCCCGUCUCCCUUCCAUUGUUCAGGGUUUGGUAGUUUUUUACGGGCAAAAUGAUUUAAUAGCUGGACAUUUGCACAUACAAGUCCCAUUUUUCCUUCCUAUGGUUUAGCUCAGAUUUUCACACUUCCAAUUGCACAACAGUUGGUGCACAGGGAUGUAUAUAAACAAAUGCAAAACAAACAAAAACACCCAACCUGAGUCUAUCGUACUUUGUGGGCUAUUUAAAGGCUGUCAAAGGUAAUCUGGAUGUCAACCAGUUUUGUGACUGGGGUCAAACUCUGCCCAGAGCCAGCCAGGAGUUGCAGUGAUGUUGCUUUGUGUUGUGUGUAGUUGCUGCGGACAGAAGGCGUGUGGCUUCUCCUCCAUUCGUGGUCAGGAGCCUUCCCUGAGCUGAGGUCUGCAGCCCUUUCCUGAUCUUCUUUUUGAAGAAUGUUAACAAGACAAGGCUGAUACUUCUGGGAUUUGACCCCAACAGGGUCUUUGCAGUUUCAGUUACUGUUCUUUAACUUGAAAGAUUUAGACAUUUCAUGUUGUCAAUUGCCCCAAGAUUGAUGAGGCCUGGGGAAACUGAUCUAUCCUCACUACACUUACAGGAGAUGGAUUUAAAGCCUGUAAUUUGGUUAAUUUACUGUUGGGGUUUGUAUCGGUCAGAAUAGGCUUGGCAACGUUGCUGUGAUGGCUUCAAACCUCGGACGCUUAAAGCAACAGAGCUGUUGUUCUUGUUGGUGCAAAGACCACUGCAGGCCUCCUCCAUGCGGUGGCUUGGUGUCACCUCCGCAGUCACUGCAUUUCUUCGACUGGUGAGACAGGGAGAGCGAGUGCACUGGAGGGUCUCCCUGCUGCCACUUAAAUGUUUCCCCCCGAAAUAACACAUGCCACCGCCACUCACAACUGCCAAAGCAAGUCAUGCAACCACAUCUGGACUUCAAGGAGCAGGGAAGAACAAUUCUUGGACUGCCUGGAAGGAAAGAACUGGAAAUGUUGGAAAGGAACAUUGAUGCCCCCAGAGGGACCUACCUUUCUGACACCUGGAAUCCCCACGCCUGUGUUCCCUCCAGGUGGUAAAGCACCUAAGAAAUGGGGUUACCAGGCA